RNAcentral lists this ribosomal RNA (465 nucleotides) under Vreelandella stevensii. Its description in RNAcentral is "partial 16S ribosomal RNA". It matches the Rfam family "Bacterial small subunit ribosomal RNA", at positions 338 to 795 of the family's 1533-position model. The record is from RNAcentral. Lineage: Bacteria; Pseudomonadati; Pseudomonadota; Gammaproteobacteria; Oceanospirillales; Halomonadaceae.
CCUACGGGUGGCUGCAGUGGGGAAUAUUGGACAAUGGGGGGAACCCUGAUCCAGCCAUGCCGCGUGUGUGAAGAAGGCCCUCGGGUUGUAAAGCACUUUCAGUGAGGAAGAACGCCUGGUGGUUAAUACCCAUCAGGAAAGACAUCACUCACAGAAGAAGCACCGGCUAACUCCGUGCCAGCAGCCGCGGUAAUACGGAGGGUGCGAGCGUUAAUCGGAAUUACUGGGCGUAAAGCGCGCGUAGGUGGCUUGAUAAGCCGGUUGUGAAAGCCCCGGGCUCAACCUGGGAACGGCAUCCGGAACUGGCAAGCUAGAGUGCAGGAGAGGAAGGUAGAAUUCCCGGUGUAGCGGUGAAAUGCGUAGAGAUCGGGAGGAAUACCAGUGGCGAAGGCGGCCUUCUGGACUGACACUGACACUGAGGUGCGAAAGCGUGGGUAGCAAACAGGAUUAGAUACCCCAGUAGUC